UACGUAGGGGGCUAGCGUUGUCCGGAAUCAUUGGGCGUAAAGCGCGUGUAAGCGGUUCGGUAAGUCCGCUGUGAAAGUCGGGGGCUCAACCCUCGGAUGCCGGUGGAUACUGUCGGGCUUGAGUACGGAAGAGGCGAGUGGAAUUCCUGGUGUAGCGGUGAAAUGCGCAGAUAUCAGGAGGAACACCAAUUGCGAAGGCAGCUCGCUGGGACGUUACUGACGCUGAGACGCGAAAGCGUGGGGAGCAAACAGG
RNAcentral lists this ribosomal RNA (253 nucleotides) under uncultured bacterium. Its description in RNAcentral is "partial 16S ribosomal RNA". It matches the Rfam family "Bacterial small subunit ribosomal RNA", at positions 524 to 776 of the family's 1533-position model. The record is from RNAcentral.